This is a ribosomal RNA of Ochotona princeps (American pika), 119 nucleotides long. Lineage: Eukaryota; Metazoa; Chordata; Mammalia; Lagomorpha; Ochotonidae. The record is from Ensembl.
GUCUACGGCCAUAGCACCCUGAUCGUGCCCAAUCACAUCUGAUCUCGGAAGCUAAGCAGGUUCGGGCCUGGUUAGUACUUGGAUGGGAGAUUGUUUUGGCAUGCAAGACUAAGAAGGUA